This is a non-coding RNA of Xylariaceae sp. FL1019, 118 nucleotides long. NCBI's taxonomy places the organism in Eukaryota, Fungi, Ascomycota, Sordariomycetes, Xylariales, Xylariaceae. The record is from the annotation of a GenBank genome assembly.
GGCAACUUGGCCGAGUGGUCUAUGGCGCUGCAUUCAAGAGAAUUGAACUCUUUCUGUGUUGUAAACACUGAAAUUCGCAGUCACGAAAGUGGCAAGGGUUCGAAUCCCUUAGUUGUCA